This is a ribosomal RNA of 507 nucleotides. The stretch from base 161 to 314 matches the Rfam family "5.8S ribosomal RNA".
CUCUACAACCCUUUGUGACAUACCUAUAACUGUUGCUUCGGCGGGUAGGGUCUCCGUGACCCUCCCGGCCUCCCGCCCCCGGGCGGGUCGGCGCCCGCCGGAGGAUAACCAAACUCUGAUUUAACGACGUUUCUUCUGAGUGGUACAAGCAAAUAAUCAAAACUUUUAACAACGGAUCUCUUGGUUCUGGCAUCGAUGAAGAACGCAGCGAAAUGCGAUAAGUAAUGUGAAUUGCAGAAUUCAGUGAAUCAUCGAAUCUUUGAACGCACAUUGCGCCCGCCAGCAUUCUGGCGGGCAUGCCUGUUCGAGCGUCAUUUCAACCCUCAAGCUCUGCUUGGUGUUGGGGCCCUACAGCUGAUGUAGGCCCUCAAAGGUAGUGGCGGACCCUCCCGGAGCCUCCUUUGCGUAGUAACUUUACGUCUCGCACUGGGAUCCGGAGGGACUCUUGCCGUAAAACCCCCAAUUUUCCAAAGGUUGACCUCGGAUCAGGUAGGAAUACCCGCUGAA